Molecule: ribosomal RNA, 1373 nt
Filed under: uncultured bacterium
Lineage: Bacteria
Description: bacterial SSU rRNA
Rfam family: Bacterial small subunit ribosomal RNA
Source: RNAcentral
GAUGAACGCUGGCUGCGUGCCUAAUACAUGCAAGUCGAGCGAACGGACGAGAAGCUUGCUUCUCUGAUGUUAGCGGCGGACGGGUGAGUAACACGUGGAUAACCUACCUAUAAGACUGGGAUAACUUCGGGAAACCGGAGCUAAUACCGGAUAAUAUUUUGAACCGCAUGGUUCAAAAGUGAAAGACGGUCUUGCUGUCACUUAUAGAUGGAUCCGCGCUGCAUUAGCUAGUUGGUAAGGUAACGGCUUACCAAGGCAACGAUGCAUAGCCGACCUGAGAGGGUGAUCGGCCACACUGGAACUGAGACACGGUCCAGACUCCUACGGGAGGCAGCAGUAGGGAAUCUUCCGCAAUGGGCGAAAGCCUGACGGAGCAACGCCGCGCGAGUGAUGAAGGUCUUCGGAUCGUAAAACUCUGUUAUUAGGGAAGAACAUAUGUGUAAGUAACUGUGCACAUCUUGACGGUACCUAAUCAGAAAGCCACGGCUAACUACGUGCCAGCAGCCGCGGUAAUACGCAGGUGGCAAGCGUUAUCCGGAAUUAUUGGGCGUAAAGCGCGCGUAGGCGGUUUUUUAAGUCUGAUGUGAAAGCCCACGGCUCAACCGUGGAGGGUCAUUGGAAACUGGAAAACUUGAGUGCAGAAGAGGAAAGUGGAAUUCCAUGUGUAGCGGUGAAAUGCGCAGAGAUAUGGAGGAACACCAGUGGCGAAGGCGACUUUCUGGUCUGUAACUGACGCUGAUGUGCGAAAGCGUGGGGAUCAAACAGGAUUAGAUACCCUGGUAGUCCACGCCGUAAACGAUGAGUGCUAAGUGUUAGGGGGUUUCCGCCCCUUAGUGCUGCAGCUAACGCAUUAAGCACUCCGCCUGGGGAGUACGACCGCAAGGUUGAAACUCAAAGGAAUUGACGGGGACCCGCACAAGCGGUGGAGCAUGUGGUUUAAUUCGAAGCAACGCGAAGAACCUUACCAAAUCUUGACAUCCUUUGACAACUCUAGAGAUAGAGCCUUCCCCUUCGGGGGGGCAAAGUGACAGGUGGUGCAUGGUUGUCGUCAGCUCGUGUCGUGAGAUGUUGGGUUAAGUCCCGCAACGAGCGCAACCCUUAAGCUUAGUUGCCAUCAUUAAGUUGGGCACUCUAAGUUGACUGCCGGUGACAAACCGGAGGAAGGUGGGGAUGACGUCAAAUCAUCAUGCCCCUUAUGAUUUGGGCUACACACGUGCUACAAUGGACAAUACAAAGGGCAGCGAAACCGCGAGGUCAAGCAAAUCCCAUAAAGUUGUUCUCAGUUCGGAUUGUAGUCUGCAACUCGACUACAUGAAGCUGGAAUCGCUAGUAAUCGUAGAUCAGCAUGCUACGGUGAAUACGUUCCCGGGUCU